Molecule: ribosomal RNA, 122 nt
Filed under: Neodidymelliopsis farokhinejadii
Lineage: Eukaryota; Fungi; Ascomycota; Dothideomycetes; Pleosporales; Didymellaceae
Description: partial 5.8S ribosomal RNA
Rfam family: 5.8S ribosomal RNA
About the family: 5.8S ribosomal RNA (5.8S rRNA) is a component of the large subunit of the eukaryotic ribosome. It is transcribed by RNA polymerase I as part of the 45S precursor that also contains 18S and 28S rRNA.
Source: RNAcentral
UGAAGAACGCAGCGAAAUGCGAUAAGUAGUGUGAAUUGCAGAAUUCAGUGAAUCAUCGAAUCUUUGAACGCACAUUGCGCCCCUUGGUAUUCCAUGGGGCAUGCCUGUUCGAGCGUCAUUUG